CCUACGGGCGGCAGCAGUCGAGAAUCAUUCACAAUGGGGGAAACUCUGAUGGUGCGACGCCGUGUGGGGGAAUGAAGGUCUUCGGAUUGUAAACCCCUGUCAUGUGGGAGCAAAUUAAAAAGAUAGUACCACAAGAGGAAGAGACGGCUAACUCUGUGCCAGCAGCCGCGGUAAUACAGAGGUCUCAAGCGUUGUUCGGAAUCACUGGGCGUAAAGCGUGCGUAGGCUGUUUCGUAAGUCGUGUGUGAAAGGCGCGGGCUCAACCCGCGGACUGCACAUGAUACUGCGAGACUAGAGUAAUGGAGGGGGAACCGGAAUUCUCGGUGUAGCAGUGAAAUGCGUAGAUAUCGAGAGGAACACUCGUGGCGAAGGCGGGUUCCUGGACAUUAACUGACGCUGAGGCACGAAGGCCAGGGGAGCGAAAGGGAUUAGAUACCCCAGUAGUC
This 446-nucleotide ribosomal RNA is filed under the name uncultured bacterium. RNAcentral's name for it is "partial 16S ribosomal RNA". It matches the Rfam family "Bacterial small subunit ribosomal RNA", at positions 338 to 795 of the family's 1533-position model. The record is from RNAcentral.